This 657-nucleotide long non-coding RNA is filed under the name Olea europaea subsp. europaea. The record is from RNAcentral. Lineage: Eukaryota; Viridiplantae; Streptophyta; Magnoliopsida; Lamiales; Oleaceae.
CUCUUCAUGAAGUCAUGUGGGGUUUCAUUCUGCCCUUGACGAAGUUGCAUGAGGGAAGCCGCUGUCUUUCUGAUGCGCUUACUACUGGCAAAGAAGGUAGACAACUUAUCGGACAGAUCUGAGUAAGAGGCUAUGGAAUUGGGCUCUAAGGUUGAGAACCAGUCCCUGGCUGCGUGGGUCAACGUUUGAGGAAAAGCUUUGCACAUCACCUGGUCUAGGGCAACUUGCAAGUUCAUGACGUGGGUAUAGAUAUUAAGAUGGUUGAUAGGGUCGAUAGUUCCAUCAUAUUUUUUUAUACGGGGGUACUUAAAUCUGUCCGGUAGGGGGAAUGAUAAUACUUCAGGAGUGAACGGGGUGUCAGGGAUAAAACACGUUGACCCCCGAGCAUUUCUCUAUAGGCCAGCUGUAAUUCCUUCUUGAAUGAUUCGGGCAAUCUCACUGGAAUCCAUGGCGACCGAUCUAGAGCCCGAGGCCAUAUUACGAAUUCCUGAGGUUCCCACUCCGCCAGUUGCAAGGUUUGGUGGUCGGGCUCGAGCAUCAGCCAUAAAACUACCAUGCUCAGCUUGCGCUGGUGACGAAUGCGAAUUUCUUUGACUUAACAGUUGCAUGAGUGUGGCCACCUGCUGACGGAGCUGUUCAAAGGCUUCGGUUGUGACG